RNAcentral lists this long non-coding RNA (562 nucleotides) under Mytilus galloprovincialis (Mediterranean mussel). The record is from RNAcentral. Lineage: Eukaryota; Metazoa; Mollusca; Bivalvia; Mytilida; Mytilidae.
AUACAAUUUAGUGUCAUAAAAAGAAACUAUACAAUAUACUUUUAAAAUAAAAUGUGAAAAAUAGAUCUCAUACAUGUUUUUAGAAAAUAAAAAUAAAAUAAAACGUGGUCAGAAAAUGAUACGUGUCACACAAAGGAUUGAUUUAUACUGUUUUUUUUCAAUAAUUGAUCCUCAGGAAACAAUUCAAAGAGAUCUGUUUUAGUUUGAAAAAUUUCUAUACUAUAUACAUUGGUUAAUAUGCAAAUGCCUUAUUUACUAUGACGCUUAUUUCCGUUUGAGUUCUUAGAUAAUGCAUCAAAAAUCUGAUUUUAUAUCCUGUAACUGGUUACACGAAUAAGGCCAAUGUUUGCAUGCCAUCAGGUCUGUAGGUCAAUAUGUAUUAUACAGACAAUUCCUUCAAAUAUAGUCUUUACUUGGUUACAAGGAUACCAGUUAAUUUGUAACCAUUUGACCAUGACAAGGAAAAAAUGUUUUAAAAUUAUAUUUUGAAAAAUGCGAAUAUAAUACCUGAACAGGGAAAUGUAACUAUGUCAAUAUGUUUUCCCGAAAUGACAUAAAAGAC